RNAcentral lists this ribosomal RNA (403 nucleotides) under uncultured bacterium. RNAcentral describes it as "partial 16S ribosomal RNA". It matches the Rfam family "Bacterial small subunit ribosomal RNA", at positions 30 to 526 of the family's 1533-position model. The record is from RNAcentral.
AUUGAACGCUGGCGGCAGGCCUAACACAUGCAAGUCGAGCGAGCGGCGGACGGGUGAGUAAUGUAUGGGGACUGCCCGAUAGAGGGGGAUAACUCCUGGAGACGGUGGCUCAUACCGCAUACAGUCGGAUAACCCAUAUGUGGUUAGCUAGUAGGUAAGGUAAUGGCUUACCCAGGCGACGAUACCUAGCUUGUCUGAGAGGAUGAUCAGCCAAACUGGGACGGAGACACGGCCCAGACUCCGACGGAGGCAGCAGUGGGGAAUAGUGCACAAUGGGCGCAAGCCUGAUGCAGCCAUGCCGCGUGUAUGAAGAAGGCCCUAGGGUUGUAAAGUACUUUCAGUGGGGAGGCGUUACCGACAGAAGAAGCACCGGCUAACUCCGUGCCAGCAGCCGCGGUAAUAC